This 2000-nucleotide long non-coding RNA is filed under the name Citrus sinensis (sweet orange). RNAcentral's name for it is "long non-coding RNA (CSIN_LNC001874)". The record is from RNAcentral. Lineage: Eukaryota; Viridiplantae; Streptophyta; Magnoliopsida; Sapindales; Rutaceae.
GAAUUAACUAAAUAAAAGACAAUUAUUUUAUUAAAAAAUAUUUUAUCUGUAUAAGAAAAUUAGUUAGGCAUACUUAAAUCGAGAGCAAUAAAAUAAAUAAAAUCAACCACAAAAAAGUUCGAACGACAUUGCUGCUACUCUUUCUCUUCUGCUUCUUUUUUCUGCAUCUCGCUAGACAUACUUAAAUCGAGAGCAAUGAAGUAAAUAGAACCAACCAUGAAAAGGUUGGAACGACAUUGCUACUACUCUUUCUCUUCUGCUUCUUUUUUCUGCAUCUCUCGGCCUGUAUCUCAAUUAUGCAGCUUGCUUGUCUUUUUAUAAUACACAUGACAGCCUAUUAAGCUUAUAUUCUUCGUUGAUUUCUGAUUACAAUUUUGUAAGCCAAGCCACUGACUUUAAGUUGUAAAAGGCUCAAACCCUUUUUUUUUUUAAUUCUCUGUUUCCUCUUCUUCACGUGGCAAUAAUGGUAAGAGAUAAUGCUUUAAUUGGAAAAUAUUAAUCUCCGAAUCUUCAAUUCUGGAUCUUUUAUGCACCUUUGUUUUCCAAUCUUCAAUUAUUUCCCGGUUCAUAAAUAAUUUAAUUAAUUAAAAAUAACAGAUAAAAAUAGUUAAUAAAUAUAUCAUUAAUGGUAAAAUAUGUAUAUAUUAUAUGCUCUGUCAUCUACAAAUGUGAGAAAAAAAAUUUCUGAUUGGGAAAACAAAAUGAAAUAGAUACGGAGCUUAAAAGCUAAUAUAUAUAUAACGGAGAUUUGAGGAACCGAACCUGGCAAGAAGCCUCACGACACUCAAUUUUCGCCCAUGAAUGCAGCGAACAAUAGCAUCUAAGAGAAUAAGCCGGUGAGAGUUAUAUCUACUAGGUAUAUUUGAAAACUUCCAUUCCUAUGGGAUACCUACAGCAUGAUUUGAAUCAAAAGUCCCUUUAAUCCACAAAUAUCCUCUCAAAUAGGAAUGGUAAAAAUCCCUACGGGGACGGGUAUCUUUAGGGAUUUUUUCUAUUUGGAGAGGAUAUGAGGAUAAUUUUAUACCUAGUUUUUUAUUCGAAGAAGAGAUGUGGAAAUUUUUUUACUCAAUUUCUUAUUCGGGGAGAGAUCGGGGAUGAGGUAGCAUCUCCAUCCCCUAUCCAUUUCCCCAUUUUAAUUUUAAAUUUUAUUUUUACUUUUUUAAAAUUAGUAGUAAAUAAAUAAUAAAAUUUGAAUUAUAAAAUUAUAAAUAUUGGUAAAAAUAACAAAUAUCAAAAUAUUUAUAUUAUUAAAUUUUUAGGCCUAAUUAACUAAUUAAAGUCUUAAAUUUUUAUUUAGCACAUUAAAAAAACCGGAUAAAUUCUAUUAGCCCAAAAAUUUUGUUUUAAUUUUAAUAUUCAUUAAAUGUUUUAAACUUAAAUCUAUUUUUAUUUAUUUUUAGAUGUUAUAAUUGCCCACAGCGAAUCACAAUUUUAAUAUCUAAUCUAAUCUAAUCUAAUCUAAUCUAAUUUAAUCUAAUAUUUGCUCUUGAUUUACCCCGACUUAACUAUUGUGCUGUAAAGGGAAUAAUCCACAUUUAUAAAGUGUCCACGCCACCAUUGAAAAAAUUAAUUUUGAAUCUAAAUUCAAUUUUAUUUGUAACAAUUUUAUAUUAGACUAUUAAUUUAUUCACAAUAGUUUAUAAAAGAAGUUUGUAUCCCUUACAUGUUGUGUUACUUACUAAUUUAAUGUAUGUGACUUUUGUAAUGGAUAUUAAUGUAAGAUAUAUUUCAAACUUUACUUUUAUUUGAAUUUUUUAUUUUAACAUGAUUAACUCAAAAUCGAAAACAAAAAAUAUAUUAGUUAUUCGGAGAUCGGGAACCCUCGGAGAUCCCCUAUUAUUAUUCGGGGAGGAGAUGGAGAUUCUCUCAAGUAAUUACGACUGAGACGGGGAGGGAACGGGGACAUACGCAAAAUAUUAGGGAUGUGUACGGAGAGAUUGGUUCCCUCCCCUCCUCUCCCCAUUGCCAUCCCUACUCUCAAUUCAGCCUCCACAAUCAAC